GACGAACGCUGGCGGCGCGCCUAACACAUGCAAGUCGAACGAGAGAUGAGGAGCUUGCUCUUCAAAUCGAGUGGCGAACGGGUGAGUAACGCGUGAGGAACCUGCCUCAAAGAGGGGGACAACAGUUGGAAACGACUGCUAAUACCGCAUAAGCCCACAGCUCGGCAUCGAGCAGAGGGAAAAGGAGCAAUCCGCUUUGAGAUGGCCUCGCGUCCGAUUAGCUAGUUGGUGGGGUAAUGGCCCACCAAGGCGACGAUCGGUAGCCGGACUGAGAGGUUGAACGGCCACAUUGGGACUGAGACACGGCCCAGACUCCUACGGGAGGCAGCAGUGGGGAAUAUUGCACAAUGGGGGAAACCCUGAUGCAGCGACGCCGCGUGGAGGAAGAAGGUCUUCGGAUUGUAAAACUCCUGUUGUUGAGGAAGAUAAAUGACGGUACUCAACAAGGAAGUGACGGCUAACACGUG
This 467-nucleotide ribosomal RNA is filed under the name uncultured bacterium. RNAcentral describes it as "bacterial SSU rRNA". It matches the Rfam family "Bacterial small subunit ribosomal RNA", at positions 28 to 507 of the family's 1533-position model. The record is from RNAcentral.